GUUGAACGCUGGCGGCAUGCCUAACACAUGCAAGUCGAACGCGAAAGGGGGCAACCCUGAGUAGAGUGGCGGACGGGUGAGUAACGCAUCGGAAUUUACCCUGUCGUGGGGGAUAACCAAGGGAAACUUUGGCUAAUACCGCAUGAUCUGGUGACAGCAAAGCGGGGGACCUGCAAGGGCCUCGCGCGAUGGGAUGAGCCGAUGCCUGAUUAGCUAGUUGGUAGGGUAAAGGCCUACCAAGGCGACGAUCAGUAGCUGGUCUGAGAGGAUGAUCAGCCACACUGGGACUGAGACACGGCCCAGACUCCUACGGGAGGCAGCAGUGGGGAAUAUUGGACAAUGGGGGCAACCCUGAUCCAGCAAUGCCGCGUGUGUGAAGAAGGCCUGCGGGUUGUAAAGCAC
Molecule: ribosomal RNA, 402 nt
Filed under: uncultured bacterium
Lineage: Bacteria
Description: bacterial SSU rRNA
Rfam family: Bacterial small subunit ribosomal RNA
Source: RNAcentral